CUAUUAUCUUAUCUGUUAAAUAGAUAUAUACAUAGUGAUCUCUUCUCUUCGAUCACAAAAUCUUGUUCCAAAGGGAAACAGACGUUCAUCAGUUAUGGCCUAAGUGAUAACUAACGAAACAAAUUUUAUGGUGGCUGUUAAAUUGAACCAGAAGAGUCCCAAUUGUAAAUCAAAAUGUGGCUGAAAAGUCAAUUCUUCACGGGAUAUUUCUACUCAAGCAAAGACACAAAAAGGGUUACAGAUCUUUCAAUAACUCAUUGUCCGUCACCUGUCUAGACGAUACCUCCAUAAAUCUUGUAAAAUUUUUUUAAGUUCUUAGAUUGUUUCACAAUUACGAUAGUAUAAAAUUAUUAAUGUAUUACUUAUUAAAGUUCCUAUUAUGUAACAUAUUAAUAUAGCUUAGAGGAUUUUGAAAAUUGAUAUUAUUGAAUAUGAUGAUGCGGGCCAAGCGAGCCCAAGACUUAUGUUAGUUGAAAAUUAUUGACA
This is a long non-coding RNA of Jatropha curcas, 486 nucleotides long. RefSeq lists it as uncharacterized. Lineage: Eukaryota; Viridiplantae; Streptophyta; Magnoliopsida; Malpighiales; Euphorbiaceae. The record is from RefSeq and is a predicted model, not a curated record.